Molecule: ribosomal RNA, 427 nt
Filed under: uncultured bacterium
Lineage: Bacteria
Description: bacterial SSU rRNA
Rfam family: Bacterial small subunit ribosomal RNA
Source: RNAcentral
UGAGGAAUUUUGCGCAAUGGGGGAAACCCUGACGCAGCAACGCCGCGUGAGUGAAGAAGGCCUUCGGGUCGUAAAGCUCUGUCAAGUGGGAAAAAAGCCUUGCAGUAAAUAGCUGAAAGGUUUGAUGGUACCACUGGAGGAAGCACCGGCUAACUCCGUGCCAGCAGCCGCGGUAAUACGGAGGGUGCAAGCGUUGUUCGGAAUUACUGGGCGUAAAGAGCGUGUAGGCGGUGAGGUAAGUCAGAUGUGAAAGCCCCGGGCUUAACCCGGGAAGUGCAUUUGAAACUGCUUCGCUAGAGUAUGGGAGAGGAGAGUGGAAUUCCCGGUGUAGAGGUGAAAUUCGUAGAUAUCGGGAGGAACACCCGUGGCGAAGGCGACUCUCUGGACCAAUACUGACGCUGAGACGCGAAAGCGUGGGGAGCAAACA